Molecule: ribosomal RNA, 253 nt
Filed under: uncultured bacterium
Lineage: Bacteria
Description: partial 16S ribosomal RNA
Rfam family: Bacterial small subunit ribosomal RNA
Source: RNAcentral
UACGAAGGUUGCAAGCGUUACUCGGAAUUACUAGGCGUAAAGGGCAGGUAGGUGGUUUUGUAAGUCUGUUGUGAAAGCUCCUGGCUUAACUGGGAGAGGUCAAUAGAUACUGCAGAACUUGAGUAUAGGAGAGGUUACUGGAAUUCCCGGUGUAGCGGUGAAAUGCGCAGAGAUCGGGAGGAACACCAAUGGCGAAAGCAGGUAACUGGACUAUUACUGACGCUAAGCUGCGAAAACUAGGGGAGCAAACAGG